CCCAUCGGAAAGUUUCCGUGUCCAUAAUUUCAGUUUCCCUCCUUCACAGUCUCUUUCUCGUCUGAAGGCAUUGUUCCAGGCCCUGGAGGAUUCAAUCUGUCCGCUCUUCAGUUCACAUUGCUCUAAAAUCCGGCACCGUGUAUUCUUUGCCAUAAGCUAUGAAGCCCGAGAAAUUUUGCUGAAGAUUUUCAAUAUACCAAAUGCAAUGGAGAAUAGAGUUUAGGUACUAGAAACAUGCUGAAAGAUCAAGAACGAGAGAACUCGUUAUUCCGAUUGAGCGUGGAGGUUAUCUUCGAAGAACGAAAUGGACGUCAAAGAACGAGAUAGAAACGUGUGAGAUAGAAAAGAGCGAGAGAGAGGGGAGCGAGAUAACGAGAGAGGAAAGUGAUCUGUGAAAGAAAGAAAAGAAACGAAAGAGAAAGAGGAGCGAAAAGCCAAGAGCGAGAUUCGCCAUUUUCGCAUGCGUGCGAGGAUUUCAUGGUAAUUUCACCCAAUGUUGACGUCAAUGAAGGGUAAAAAAACUCACAUUUUUUAAAAAGUAUGGCAGAUCUUGUUUUCCCCUUCCAAUUCGGAUCAUCCGUACAAGAAAUCCUAGUAACUCUAGGGCUAAUAAUUAAGUGUAUAACAACAUAUUUAAAGAAUUACAAAUAUAGCAAACUCUAUCACUGAUAGACUCUUACCAGUGAGCGACUCUUACAACUUCUAC
Long non-coding RNA from Benincasa hispida (wax gourd), 706 nucleotides. RefSeq lists it as uncharacterized. Lineage: Eukaryota; Viridiplantae; Streptophyta; Magnoliopsida; Cucurbitales; Cucurbitaceae. The record is from RefSeq and is a predicted model, not a curated record.